Molecule: long non-coding RNA, 687 nt
Organism: Arabidopsis lyrata subsp. lyrata
Lineage: Eukaryota; Viridiplantae; Streptophyta; Magnoliopsida; Brassicales; Brassicaceae
Exons: 4
Source: RefSeq, a predicted model, not a curated record
AAAUUGACGCGGCCAAUUUUCGGGUUACUAAAGUUUAAUUCCCGCUAUUGAAUCUGUUAAGAGGGAAAAAUGUGAAAUUUUGGCUAAGGCAAAAUAAAUUAAAACAAGAAACAUCACUUUUUCAUUUUUUUCUUAAGGCAAAAUAAACUUCUUCUCUCUCGAUUUCUCUCGAUUUCUCACAGUCAACAACACAUCUCACUUGAUUUCACUCGAAUUCUCACAAUCUGCAACUCAAUCUCAGUCGAUAUCUCUCGAUUUCUCUCGAUCUCCAACAGGAAGAGCUUGGUGAAACUUCUGUUGAAGGUUUAUGAGUUUCAUUUUGAUAUAUCAAUUUUAAUGUUUUGGUAAAUAAUUGAUAUCUAAUUGAUCUCUAUGUGACUGUUCUUGACUUCUUGCAACUGAGUUACGCUCAUGAGAAUAACUGAGUUACAUGUUUUGGCAAGAUGUCGCUUGCCUGUGAUCUUGUGGUGUCAUCCAGGAAGUGGAGAUGUGAUUGCCCGCUCAUCACAACCUUUAUUUGGUUUGAUGAUGAACAUGAGGAGUCUUGAUAAAGCUGUGGAGCUAAAUUAUCAGUGGAUUGCAUUUGAUGAUGUUUGUUACCAUGUUCAGGUGAAAUUUUUCACUCUUAAGAUUUGUAUAAGAUCCAUAUGCUCUUGUUCAGUUUUCUGAUUUUAUGAGUUUGUUUGA